AUAUCUGUACCAUAGAUGUAUCUGCAUAAACUUCUUAAUUGUGACUAUAUUUUUGAUAAAAUGGCCGUAUUAACAUAUUCCUAUUUGUGCAAAACGGAAGGCCACGCUAGCUAGCUUUAAUUCUCUUACAAGAAACUAGUAUAACUUGGAAAAAACAAUGAUAAAGUCAUGAAGAGAUUAUAUUAGUUCAUACUAAACAACACAAUUAGAUCAAAACUAAUGGUGAAUUUUCAGUAUUAAGAAAUUCACUGUCUCUUGAAUCUCCAAUUCAAUUAUGCCAGUAAUCCAAAGAGUUGACUUACUAUACAAUGAACGAGUGCAAAAAGAGGGCAGAAAAAGAGUUAGUUUUCUUGUUCCUGCGAGUGUGAGCACGCACUGAUGCUGCGAAAAUCCUUUUGCUGGUUCAGAUUGCCAUUUUUCGUCUCAGUUCUAAUAAAGAACAUUGACAAUAAUUGAAAAAGAUGAUCAACACAACGCAAGUGAAAAGUGAACAUUGACAUUUUAGAAAGAUGAUCAAUACUGCAGAGCCACAAAACACACAACAGCAAACCAAAACUCAGAACCCAUAGUUAGUAAACAAUAAUUAUUAAACAAAAUUCACAGUUCAGUUCACAAAGCUUCAUAGACUUCACACUUCACAGUUCAGUAUCACUAUAUCAGAUUAUCAGUAUAUCAGACUUCAGACUUCAGUGACUUCAGUUCACAGAGCUUCAUAGAUUCAAACAAUUAUUCAAUCAUACUCAUUAGGGAGAUAGAGACAUGCAACAGUUAUUCAAUCAAACAAUCAUUGUAACAAGGGACAGAGACAAGGAACAGAGUGACCAAGACGCCUUCAGUUCACAGUUUAAAAAAUUACUUGGAAGUUCGAAGAUGCCUUCAACAGAGCAUGCAAGAGGGAGACAGAGACACCGAGUGACCAAGACAAGGAGCAGUGGUGGAGCACCUUCGAACCGAGUGACAAACAGAGCUAGGGACGACGGCGAAGUGGCUAUGCGACGGAGGCUUCGAUGUUCCCACGAUGGCUACGUGAUGGAAGGGGAGGAAGCUUGCAAUGGCUGCUGGGCGAUGGAAGGGAAGGGAGCCAGCCCUGUCGCGACGAUGGCGGCACGAGGCGGUGGCUGAAGUGCUGAACGGAGGCGAGGGACGGAGGUGAGCUCGAUGAGAUUGGGAGGAUGGAGUUAGGGCUAACUGGCUACUGGAGGCUGGAUCUGGGCAUCAGGAUGGAGUGAUG
Molecule: long non-coding RNA, 1231 nt
Filed under: Arachis ipaensis
Lineage: Eukaryota; Viridiplantae; Streptophyta; Magnoliopsida; Fabales; Fabaceae
Description: long non-coding RNA (AIPA_LNC000556)
Source: RNAcentral